CUGGUACUGAGACACGGACCAGACUCCUACGGGAGGCAGCAGUGAGGAAUAUUGGUCAAUGGAGGAAACUCUGAACCAGCCAUGCCGCGUGAAGGAUGACGGCCCUAUGGGUUGUAAACUUCUUUUAUAUGGGAAGAAACUUAUCUACGUGUAGACAACUGACGGU
This 166-nucleotide ribosomal RNA is filed under the name uncultured bacterium. RNAcentral's name for it is "partial 16S ribosomal RNA". It matches the Rfam family "Bacterial small subunit ribosomal RNA", at positions 313 to 476 of the family's 1533-position model. The record is from RNAcentral.